Long non-coding RNA from Pyrgilauda ruficollis (rufous-necked snowfinch), 11895 nucleotides. RefSeq lists it as uncharacterized. The transcript has 11 exons. Lineage: Eukaryota; Metazoa; Chordata; Aves; Passeriformes; Passeridae. The record is from RefSeq and is a predicted model, not a curated record.
UCAAUUCCCAGUCCCUGUGCCUAUGACCUCAGAUGGGUUCUCAUGGUGUCUUUUGUUGUUACGCGAUUUGUUUUUUGGCAAAAAUUCCUUAUCUGCACUCCCCAUUUUCUACUUACCUAGAUAUCUUUGAGUACAGACCAAGAUGAGAACUGAUGUGAUUGAAAAGGAAGCUGGGAAGGCAGAAGUAGGUUGUUCUUCCUACAUUGAGAAACAUGGAUAGACUCAUCCUAUACACAACUGACAGAGGAUAGAGGCUGGGGAAACAGCUGAUUGUGAGUUUAUCUGGAAUUAGCAGAAUUGUCUUUAGAGGCAGAGGGCCCAGAACAUGUUCUGGCAAAGGAAAAGGGAGAGAAAAAGACUUAAAUUCCUAGAGUGUGUGGAUACAUUUGAUUAGAAGAUGAACAUGAGAAGUCUGAGAAACAGACAUGGCACUACUUCAUGGAAAAAUAAGAGGCAAAGCUUGAUGCAGGAAAAACUUCGAAAUAUUUGGUAGAGCCACAUGUGACUGAUCAAAAUAUUCACCCUAAGCACACAAAACGAGACUGUUAAGAUUUGCCAGAUAUGGGACUCACCUGCAGCAGAAUGUGGCUUUAACAGAACUUGGGAGACCCUUCCAGAGGAGGGUGAUUUGUUCACAAAGCACGAUCACUUUGGAGACCUUGAUCCGAUUUGUACAAUAAAUGAACACAGCCAAGAUUGAGUGUUUUAUAAGCAGUUCCUCCGUGAAAGUUUGCAGCACAACUUCAAGUGGAGUUCAAGUUAACACAUCUGCUUAACAGUUAAGGCUUAACAGGUUUUACUGCAUACUUAAAUUUUAAUUGAACUUAUACUUGACACCAAACUCAACUGAAAGAUCUUGGGGAUAUACUGAAUAUCGUUUGUGUUGCUUCCCCGUGGAUGCUUGCCAUCAGAAGAAUGGGAUUGCCCUUGCUGUUGCUGCAGGCUCGUGAUCUGGACCCAACCCUAGGACUCGAGCAGGACUGAGGGACACAUGCAAGUGGUAAGAAGCUGGAUCAUCUUUCUUCAUCUGCUCGCUGCCUUCACAGAAUUUGCAAGUGUGACAAACUAUUUCAUCCCUUUACAGGAUUAGGGAUGCGGAUUUACCUCUCCCUGAGGUGCUGCUGCUGGCUGGUUCACUGCCUGCUGGAGGGUGUCUCUAAGAUCUGACUUAACCUGAAGCAUGCACUUCCUCAGGAGGUCUGCAGCAGGGCUGGAGGACUGCAAGCACUGCAUCCCUUCCCUCCUGUCACCUGCUGCCUCACAACUGCAGUGCCUGUGCUGUGCUCUCAGCUCCCUCUCCCUGAAAUGUUCCUCGUGGUGGUUUGUACAGAGCUGCCUUGGAGCAGGCUUUGCUUUUGGUGGCAGGAUCCCUUGUUGCUAUGCCAUUCAUGAAGAAGAUGGCUUUAUCCUUGCUUUUAUUCCACUGGGACCAGCUCCUCUACACACAGGCACCAAAAAUGGCAAAUCUUCAUAACCUUUUUUGAUUUUCAAUUGAAGCUCUACAUCACAUGAACUUGGGGUUUUUUGAGAGUUUGAUGGUUGUACAGACAAGGGAAAAUCCUUUGGGACCAGAGAAGUCUUUAGAGAAUGAAGAAAGCAGAAUGUGUUCCAAGACCAAUACACUGCUUCAAUUCCAGUGACUUGGACGUGAGUAACCAUUGGGAGUCAUCCUGUUUCCAUUCUGAAAAGCUGCAGUUGCACGAUGUCAGCUGAAAAGCUGCAGAAGCUCAGAGUGGUGUGUGCAGCUGCUCAGCCCUCUGGGCACAGCCUGCCCCUCUGUCUGCAUCGGGCACACAUAAACUGGGCCAUGGUUUUAGGUCCCUGCCUGAGGACUGCUGACCCUGUCCUACCUGCAAUGUUCCUGAUGCUGGGAAAACGUCAGUCCCCCUUAACUUUCUCAUCAGCACAUCAGCUCCUGUCUUUGUGCCCAUGGAUCCCAAGUUCCUUGUGAAGGAGAGCACUCAGCCUAUGCAAGGUGGUCCUGCACUUCUGAAUUCAUGGCACAGUGAAUGAUGUUUUGGAAGGCAAAGCCUCAGGUGCUGUUGGAAACAUCUACCCAUGAGCUGUUCAUUCUAUUGGAGUGUCUGCAUGAAAGAGGCAGGAGAAAAGGGUUGCCCACAAAUAUUAUCAAUACAAAUCAGCAUGUUAUUAAUGCAGCCAAAGGUAUGGUCUGUACACCCACCCUUUAAUGCAUGUGAAUGUGCUUAAUUCUGUGAGAACUUGCAAAGCCAGGAGCUAUAUGAACUUGGCUGUCACACAUUUCUUAAAGCAUUAUUUCUCCUUUUGCCUCUUAGAGAUACGUCUAAUGCCAAAUGGCCCAAGAACUUCAAAGACAUACCACAAAUUAAAUCUGUCCUUCAUGCUUUUGCUUCCUUCAGUAUCUAGCUGUGGCAAGGCCAGCUUCUCACUGGCUCUAGGGGCUCUCUCUUCAGACUUUUAAAUGUAAGUGAAUUAUAACAGUUCAUGUUACCUGGUCCAGCUGCACUAGAAAUGGGCACCUUGACUCAUUAGAAAAACAGGCAUCUCUCUUCCACUGGGUCCAAACUCCUCAUUAGCUUUGAAAUAUUUCACUCUGUUCCCACUCCUCAAGUUACAGCUUCUUUGGCCAAGUUCACUAGUUCUUAUUUCCAGAAACUGCUAUAUCUCAGAGGGCUUCUGAACUGGUUACAAGGUGAUUAAUACAGGUAAGGCACCUGUUCUAAUUUUAAUGUAAUUGGCAUAAAUUACUUUCUGAAGUUGCUUUUUCUUCAAGAGAUGGAAGUGCAGAGCAUUGAUGUGCCGUCUUGGAGCAUUAUAGGAUGAGGCUCCUGAAUUUUCUCUCUGCUUGCUUAAUUUUGUGUAAGCUUUGCCUCUUUCUUUUGAAGAGUUUCUGUAACUACCAACUUAACUACUGUAGUUAUGUUGGGAACACAAAAUUAAUGAAAAACAGAAAUGUAAUUUAACUAGAAACCCCUAAAUGCAUUAUUGUCAUGUUUUAAUCCAGCUGACUGGGUUAAGAGGGCAAGUGUGGAAGCAACAUUUCCCACUCCUGGCUGUCCCAGUGUGCUGUUCCUUCCCUUGCUGGCCAGCAGCAGGCAAUAGUGUCCUGUCAUGUUCAUGUCCAGGUGUUAGUGGGUCUCUAACCUGGACUGCUAAUGGAUGGAAUUAGCUCUGAAUGUGUGCAAAAAACUCAACAAAUGGAAAAGAAAAAGGAAGGUGUUACUAUAAGACCAUAUAUGUUGUUGAGGUAUGUAUAUGUCUCUUCCUUCAUUGAGCUGUGGUUAAUCAGAAGAUUCAUGUUGGGUUGUUUCUGAAGAAGAGACUCCCCCAUUUCAUGUCCAGCAUAGGCUGUUGUUUCAGCCUGAGCAUGUAUGCUUUGCUUCUGGUGUAUUGGAAAAAUGUGGUAAUGUCUAAAACAAGAAUUAUGUGGGAAAGACGUGAAGAUGCAUAAAAUGAUGAAAAUCCAUGGGUAGAAGGAUCUCGUUAAGUGGACUUAGGGGAUUCUCAUAAAUAUCAUUUUAGUGUGAUGUAGUUCACAUGAUAACAAGAUAUUUUGUUCCACCAGCAAAAUGGAGCAUUAGCUUAGAGGACUGGAUUACUCAUGGCACAAACAUGGCUGUUAUGUGCAAACUUUCGGUGUUCUGCCAAGGUCAGUUCGUGGGGGUUGAGAUGAAACUGUUUCCUAAACUGUGAAAGUGAUCCCGGGUACCCAGGCUGCUGGAAUGCCUGGAGGUUUUAUGGAUUCCUUCCCCUUUAGCCCACUAGCAGGGUAUCUGCUAAUGCAGGCUCCCCUUUCCUGCCUGCAUUGCUCUAGUGAGGCUGGCCUUAGGAGAAGCAUUGCUUUGACUCACUUUGUUUUCUGACUUCUUGUUUGCCUGCAGAAGGAACAUUUACAGCAGGCUUUUCUGUAGAUAACCAAGGCAAAAUGUUGUCCUCAGGCACUGGAAAAGAUGAAUGUAUCACUCAUGUCUGAAUAUGACACCAGACCCAGGAUAGGACUGGGAAGGUGUCAAGUUAUAGUCAGAUCUACUCUCACAGCACCUCAGCUGAGAACAUUUGUUUGGGAAGGGCUGGUGGAAGGUUUCAUGUCAUGCAGGUGAAGGAAACAAAAGGUAGGAAAACAGAUUUUGGCCUAGGGCUGAGGAUCUGCAGUGGGCUUGUUCCUCCUGCCCACUUAGAAGGGAUGUGCACUUGCAGGUAGGUCCUGUGACCAGGCAGGUCUUGGCCAUGCCAGAGCUUGCUGGAAAGACCAUUCCUGAGGGUGCCUAGCAGAGCUCCAGCUGUGUUGCCCGUGUGUCAGGCUGGCUUUGUGCCCUCCCCUUGCAGCUCACUGGCUGUUGCUGGUCUGGCUGUGCUUGCCCAGUGCUCCAGAGCCUCUGAUGGCUCAUAGCAGAGCACCUCUGCUGAAGCUUGAUGUUAGGAGCAUGCACUGGAAUGGAGGUGUCAGAGUGGUCUCUAACUGCUUGAAGUGGUGCAGCUGAAAACCGUGUGUGUUUAGGAACAUGCUUUGUUAUGGAAGGGAGUGGAAGACUAAUGGAGUGACGCUGAUAAGCAGCAAAUGAAGUUGGAAAUACGUGUUCAGGGUGAAGUCAGGGGAUCAAACACAGAUUAUAUUCCUUUGGCUAACUGCCUUCAGAUUUUAUAAUUCAUUGAUUUUUUUGCCUGUGCUAUACAGGAUGCUAAUUCAGGAGUUAAAAAUCUAAGGGACAUUAGGGGGGAUUACCAGGCUUCCGCAAUGUCAAUGUCAAACUUGGAUUCUGGGAAGCUUUGUCUUAGGGCAGGACUUGAGGAUGAAGGUUCUGUGUGAGUGCAGAAGUAGGAUUAAAUUUCAAUCAAACCCAGAAAGAAACAGUAGAGGGCUGAAAGAUAUCUUCCCUCAGCUGAAGUAGUUACUCUCUUCAUACCUGUAAAGAGGACCUUGCCCAAAUUCCCUUAAUUUGCUGCAAAGUACAUCUGAGGCCUCAAGUAGAUCUCAGCUCCAGUGUAUUUACUGUCCCAACAGAAACAAUGCACUGCAACCUCACCCUAAUUUUACUGGAAUCAGCUGCCACUACUCUGGAGCAGAAGCAAGAAAAAACAAAAUUAAUAUCUGGAUAAACAGCCUAUUAAUUUGAUGACAACUGUUGUUCUCCAUUUCAGGGUCCAGAGAGCAGCCUGGGCAGUGAGCUAAUGAGAACACCAGAGCCGUGCAGCCUAGGGGGAGGUGGGGGGUAGAGAAGAAAACAGAACAAACACUCCUUUUGUAGCUCGGAGCUAAGGGGAUUCAGCCAAAGGUUAAUUGCUUUCUACCCUAAAAUGCUGUGAAGUGUUGCUGCGUGGUGUCAUACAGCUGCUUCAUCCCAGCCUGAGGGUGUCUGUUUCAGUGGUGGGUGGCAUGAGCCAAGAUCCUUUUUUUAACCGCACGGGGGUGUUGCAAGGUCUCCAAAAGGCAUCCAAAAAUCUGGUGGAGCUUGGUUGGUAUCAUUUAGGGUUUCACCACAUCAUGGGAGCAGUUAGCAAAAACACCAAAUGAGCACCAAAAGAACAGAUUGCUCUUCACUAGGAAUUUUUUUUAGGGGAUGCAAGCUCAUUGUUUCCUCUGAUUCUUCAUUAGACAAUCAAAUGAAAGAUGCUACAGGAAUCAAGAGAUAAGGACAGAAAUGAGUGUAAUAGUAAACUUCACCUUACUGUCACCUUUGCCUCUUAGCCAGUGUAUCUUUAAAAUAUUUUAAAAUUAAACUGUGAACUUUAAUUUUAAUGAUCAAAUUUGUUAUUCCUAAGAAUAAUAAAAAAAAAUCCGUUUUUUUUUUUCCAUUAACAAUUCUGCUCAUGCAACUUCUGCGCUGUGUAGAACUUAAAGCAAUAAAAUAACUUUCUAUUAGCAUAGGUCUGUUGUGAUAGCUUGGAAGUCUCCUUCUGGUUGGUGGGACAUCAAAAAUUUCAAAAAACCAGAAAGUUGUACACGGGGAAAAUAAUCCUGUGAUGUUGUGCAGUCUUGUGACAGUGCCCAGGUUCCCUUGUCUGGAGAUCAUAAUAGUGGAAGAGAAUUAGAGUAGAGUAUUUAAGUUGGAAGGAACCUACAGUGAUCAUCUAGUCCAAUUCCAAUUGAUACUUGUGAGAUUAAAUGGAACUAAAUAGAAAUGUGAUGUCUGAUCUUCCUGUAGGGUAGGUAAAUUUCUGAUUUUAGUGUUUGUAUGUGAACUCUCAAUAUUGCAAAUAAUUCUGCUGAUAUCACUACUCCAACCUGUUUGUCUCAGUUUCUCUUGUCUGGUCAUUCUGCCCAUUUCCUUGUGAACAUUUUUAUCUUUUACUUUACUUGUGCUUUCAACACUUAUUUUAUUUCAUGACUCCACAACUGAAGUUUACCAUAUACAAGGUUUAAAUUCAUGACCAGCAAGCCUGAGCAAGUGUAUGCUCAUUGAAUGUCAGAGCUUGAGUAUUUUCGAUGCUCAGUUCAGGUAAGGAGGAGCAGUUUCCUCUGUGAUUCUUAUGCCAAAUGACAGGAUGGUCUGAGAAAACCCUGAACAUUUCAUUAGUGUCUCUUCCUAUCUCAGUCAUGUGUGCAUGGCUCACCCUGCACUGCUGGGAGCCCAGUCUGGCUCCACCCAUCCCCCAAAAGGCAAAGUGUGGGGUCACAGCGCUGUUCCAAAUGACCAAGCUUUCCCCAGAGUUAAUUCCCCUCAAAAAGGAGACAAUGCAGGCAAUAAGGGCACUAGAGAUGGGAGUGCUUUGGGCUCUUGUUUGCCCUCCAUCCAGGUCUCUCCCUGUCCCUUUCUGAUAAUGAAAGAACAUGUUCCAGUUCUUCUGCUUCCAGGGAAUAGUGUUAAGUCUCAUGGUGGCCAGGCAGAUAAUGGUCCAGUUGGGAGCACAGACAACAACCCUUAGAGCAGUUUUACCAUAUGGGAAAUGUUUAAAGCAUUUUUUCAACAAGGUUUUGGGGUGUUCUGCUUUUGAAGUCCCUUAUUCCAAAUAGGGUGAUGUGUGUACCUCUGCUUUUGUUGGAGCUGAGUAUCACAAACAGGAUGAAGCUCUUUUUCUGCAUGUCAGUACAAUAGAAACACAUGAGUUUUUCUAGAAGCUUGUCUGACUCAGCAGUAUUGCCUAAACUUUCAGAGACAACUGCAACCUACACUACACAUGGUAGAGUUGCAUGGUAUCACUCCUGUUUUCUGUUCCUUACUUGUCUUCUGGCCUAAUUGAAGGUGCUGACUUGUCAGUUUGGAACAUGAAUGGUCACUGAGCCCAGUGGGACUGGGGACAGGGCUUGUAAUACUGAUGGCAUGACUCUAUUAGCAACAAUGUGUGUGAGUAAUUUGGUAGAAUAGUUAUGAGCCAUCUGCAGUUGCUCAGCAGCCUGAAAGCACACUUUGAAGUCAGCUUUACUGGAGCUGACCCUGGUAAGUUCUUGCUUUUCAUUCCUAGGACUGCUGCACAAAGUUAACAUCAAGUGCUGUCUUGGAAUCCUGGAUCUUUCCUUGGAAUACUGAAUCUUUCCAGUGAAGCAGAUAGGAAUUCUGAAAGGUUAUGCAGUGUCUGAGAGAUCUUCAACACAGCUUUAAACUUUUGUGACUAUUUCAUGGGAAACAAAUCUUUCCUUGUUUUCUUUUUUUCCCCCCCACUUCAUAAUAGCAUUAAACUCAUUUUCUGCAAACCUGCUUUCAACGGUCUAGCUAAUUUAUACUGGAAGUAAUUGGACACACCUAAUGAAAAGCAGAGUGGAAUUUUGCUGUUGAACUGCAAUGUUCUCUUCAAGUCACUGGUCUCUUCCAUUUGAUAAUUGUCAUAACAGCAAUUAAGUAACCUGACUUCUCCUCUUUCCUGCCAGUGAUGAAAGCUUAAAAUGAGUCUUCAAAACUGUCACUCUUCUCUAAAGUUUCCUUAAAGAAAUGGCAUUUACUCCUCUCUUAAUAUCUUGCUAUCUAACAUUAGCUUGCUGUUCAGCCUUCAGAGAGCUCUUACUGCAAUAGUCAACCAGGUAAGGGCUUUAGAUACUCUUGGGCUACUUCUUAUCUUGAGGAGUCCAAGGGGAUCAUGGUGAUGCUGUUUGUGACCUCAAUCUCUUGUUGUGUAGAGACCACGUUCAUUUACUCUCAAAUCCAUUAUAAAUUCAUGUUACAUGCUUACUCACUCAUUCCAUAGUGGGAUUCUGCUCCAUACCCAGAGCUGUGGUGUUUCUGGUCAAGAGCAGCAUUUGUGCUGCUGUUGUGGUUGCAGUUUUUCCUGGUGUGCCCUUGGCAUGACAGGUGCUGUAUGGACAGGGGGUUGAGUUGUUCCCUUAGCUCUUGUGUGGGAUUAACCAGGCACUGCCUUUCUUGUGCUUUGUGGGGUUCUCAAUCUCGUAGCCUUCUUCAGCCUUCAGAGAGGCUGUGGGGGUAUGUACAGAAGAGCUGUAUGUCAGUGAGCUGUAAAUUGCUGCCAUCUACCAGCUCAUGUAGGGGGCUCCCACCUGGUCUGGUGUGUGCUGGGAUCUAUGCUCUAGCUCCAAAUCCUGGCUCCUGGGAUUUGCCUUUGACCGGACCUGUUCUCAAACACUUGAAGGAGGUGGAUGCCUGGUCUCAUCUCUUCAUAAACAAACCAACCUCAUCUGUAGGUGCAUGCAAAAAAACCCUCAAAAGACCCAAACCCAAACAAAACCAACAACCAAAUAACCCAACCCCAAGCCCACAAAAAGCCCCCCAAGCAAUCAAACAAAAACCAAAAAAGCGAUAUGGAUUUAAGGUUUUUUAGCAGUCACUCUCUAGCCUAAAUUCUGUGAGACUUCUUUAUGUUACAGAUUCCUGUCCCAGAGGGGUUUUUAGCAGUCAAGAGGGUUGGAAGGUAUUUGAACUGCUACAGUAUAUCGUGUUCUCAGCAAGAGCUUCUGCUGUCUGUUCAGUCCAGAGAGGUUCUUAGCCCAUCUCUGUGAGCAUAACUGUAAUGCUACGAAUUAUUCCUUGUGGAAACUUUAACUAUUGUGCUUAGUGGGUUUACAGGAGCUUUUUCAGUCUGCUUUUAGUGUAUUUGUGUUGGUGGGGAUUCUGAGUGGAAUUACAUGCCCAAGCUUUCAGAUAACUGCUGUAAAUACACAGAUCCACUCUAGUUCCUUACUUCACUGUAGCAGCUGCUGCGGUGUUGCAGAAACUUCAUAGCUUUGACUGCAUCUUAUUAGUUCAGCACACUAUUAAUAUCCCAGAAGCUUUUUGUAUUAGUUUCCACACUUAAUAUUGGUUCUCCUUCCAUCUUCCCUGCCCCCCUUCACACUCAGUCAUUAAACUAAAUUCAUCUUGGGGCUUUUUCAUUUAAGAUGCCCUUGCUGCCCACACCAAAGAGGGGAACCAGACUGGAAGAAAACCAAUUGUGCUAACAGUCACCUGGUAUAUUUAGUGGCAAUGUCAUCUAACAUGCAUUUAUGCUCAGAAGUAGUGCCUUUCUGCUUCUAUAUGGGGCAUUUGUAGUGUUGGCAAAAUCUUUCCAGAGAAACAGCUGCUGAUUGGCUCUUCUUGUCUAUUUGGGGAAGGAUCUGUCCUUAAAUACUUAGUUAUUCUGCUUUCUAAAAAUGGCAUCAAGCACUUGGCACUAUCAGGAUUGGACUCGAAACUUUUACUGAGGUGAAUUGGGUGCAUUGCCCCAAGACCUGGUGAAUCCUUGUCUCCCCUAGAGGAAUGACUGCACAAGUACCAGCAAGUGGGUGCAGGUACAUCUAGGGCAAGUCAGUGCCUGGGGCUCUAAAAUGCCGAUUGCAGUCUUCCUCUGGAAGGCUUUAAAACCAAAUGUCACAUUAUUACGGUUAAAUGGCUCUGGUGAAAAGGGCACAGGACUGAGAUGCAUCUCAGCUAAUAUUUCUUCUGAAUGUAAAGAAAUCCUGUCCCAAAUGGCAGCAAUGCCUCUCCUUUGAGGUGUUGUGUCUCAGUAAGGUGGAGAACUCAGGCUGUUGUCUGAGUAGGGACUGGGAGCCAACUUGCCUUUGCCAGUCUGUGCUGACCAGAGACAGGGCAAGGAGGAAGGCUCCACCAGCAUUUGGCACAACUGCCCCAGCCUCCAAAUGCAUAAACCAUCUGACUGACACCUAACUGACUGAGGAGAAGGCUCUAGGGUGAGCAGCUCACCAGGAAUAGAAGUGUUUUACCCUUUUGGUAGACCAUAGGUGCUUCCCACUGUUCCUCAGAGUUUACAAGGUCAGGAAAACUUGACAUCCAGAGAGCUGGUAGGGUACCAAGGGAAGGUUUUUACUCCAUAGCCCAGGGGCUUUGGUCACCUCUGAGCUCUUGCUGUGACACCUCACCCAAGGGAGAGCAGUGGGUGAAUCAUGCAAUACUCCUUUGAAACAGAGGCUAGCUUAGGACAGCUUGAGGGUCUAGGACACUGAAAUAUCUUCCUGUCCAAAAUAGUUUGAAUUAGUUGAUCUGCAUGGCAUGCUGCCAGGCUUCAAGGAGAACUAGGGAGGCCUGGCUACUGGUCAGCAGGCUGGACUGGGUGGUAGGAAGUUAUUAAUAGCUGGUCUUCCAUGGAAAGAAUGAGUUUGGCUGAGAUGUGAUGUAAAGCUGCUAACUGGUACAGCAAGCAAAUGCUGAAAGUCUUGUCUAUUAUCACUUGAAUGAGCUGUUACGCCUUAUGGAGAACCUUGAGCCGCCUGGCAUUGGCCUCUCAAUCUGAGCUGUGUGGUUGGGCAGCACAGGUGCAGGUCUGAAGAAAAGAAGCUGUCAGCUCUUGGUCAGCCUCAGGGAGUGGUCGGUGUAUCUUCUCUUCCUCAGCAAGUUUAGGUUCCCUCAAGGUCCCUCAUGAUGCAGUUCUCACCUGUAAGAGUCAGCUCUUUGUUUCUGAAACAACUUAAUUUAAGGACAGAGAAGUAAGAAAGGUGCUUUUCUGCACACAAAUAGAAGUUUUGGAAAGAAAGAUUAUCUCAAAACCUCAGACAAGACCAGUUUGGAAAAAAGGUGGAGGAGACUGGGAAAAAUAAAUGACUAAAAAUUCUCUUCUUGAGUGGAAUGGCAAUGAGGAAUUUCUUAUGGAGGAUUUAGCUGGAUCAAAGGUUACAGUAAAGCACAAGUAAUAGAUUUGCUUUAACUAUACCAGCUGGUCCUCUCCUUUUAAAGGCUUGUGGCAGAGUGGCUUUAAUGAUGUUAUUGUGGGCAUCUGUUGGACUUGUUCUUGAGCACUUGAUUAGAGGUUGUCAUUUUUAAGGGGAAGGCUAGGAAAAUCAAGUGGUGUUGCAUUCAAUGUGAAGCUUGUAUUUCCUUUUGUGUUCUUCAGUUCCCUUCAGGAACUUUUCAGUUUCCUUGCAGGAAACUAAUACAAGGCUCUGGGUUAAUACACAGAGGUCUCCAAGCCAAGCCCAGUUUCAUCCCUUGGAACAACUGGUGCUUCUUAAGGGAGAUGCUAGCUCCCAGAAUAGCUACGUGGAUCAAGUUUGUCAUCUCCCUCAUCCUAAAGCUCACACAUCUGAUUGUCCUGCUUAGAAAGAGGGAGGAUGAACAAGAGUCAAUGGAAUAUCCAUUUCUCAUUAAAAAUAGUUCUUGUCCUGGCUAUUGUAGGGAAACUUUAUUUCCUUGGUGGCUUGUUGCUGAUCUCUGCUCUUGUCUGUUGGAUUUCCACCCUGGAAAACAGGUGUAGAGAUGCUAUAAGUAGCAAGAAGUCUGAUGCAUGCAGUGAGUUCCUUGAAGACUCUAAAUUACAGUUUUCCUUCCUGUGCUACAACCUCAGGUCCCUGACCUGCAACUGCAGCAUAUUUUCUGUGACUAACAGCUGUAAUUCCCUAAUUAUCAUGCUCUAUUCUCCUGCUGUGCUGUAGAUUUUGUUACCAAGGAAGCAAACCAAGUUUCCUCGUCCCUACUCUUGCUCUGUAUGCUCCCAAUUGUUUUAAAUCCACCAUUUGAUGCAGCCCAUAAAGACAAAUGACUAUCUCUUGUUUCAAAUACUCAAAGUUUCCAGAACAUAUUACGUAGCUGCAUGCUGGGGACA